CACCGCGGUUAUACGAGAGGCCCAAGUUGAUAAUUACCGGCGUAAAGAGUGGUUAAGAUUAAUUACAAAACUAGAGCCGAAAGCCCCCACAGCUGUUAUACGCAAUCGAGGGUAAGAAGCCCAAUUACGAAAGUAGCUCUACACCGUCUGACUCCACGAAAGCUAGGGCA
Molecule: ribosomal RNA, 170 nt
Filed under: Pomadasys sp. CBM:ZF:18112
Lineage: Eukaryota; Metazoa; Chordata; Actinopteri; Lutjaniformes; Haemulidae
Description: partial 12S rRNA
Source: RNAcentral